This 493-nucleotide ribosomal RNA is filed under the name uncultured Enterobacterales bacterium. RNAcentral describes it as "bacterial SSU rRNA". It matches the Rfam family "Bacterial small subunit ribosomal RNA", at positions 46 to 528 of the family's 1533-position model. The record is from RNAcentral. Lineage: Bacteria; Pseudomonadati; Pseudomonadota; Gammaproteobacteria; Enterobacterales.
GCCUAACACAUGCAAGUCGAACGGUAACAGGGAGCAGCUUGCUGCUUUGCUGACGAGUGGCGGACGGGUGAGUAAUGUCUGGGAAACUGCCUGAUGGAGGGGGAUAACUACUGGAAACGGUAGCUAAUACCGCAUAACGUCGCAAGACCAAAGAGGGGGACCUUCGGGCCUCUUGCCAUCGGAUGUGCCCAGAUGGGAUUAGCUAGUAGGUGGGGUAAAGGCUCACCUAGGCGACGAUCCCUAGCUGGUCUGAGAGGAUGACCAGCCACACUGGAACUGAGACACGGUCCAGGCUCCUACGGGAGGCAGCAGUGGGGAAUAUUGCACAAUGGGCGCAAGCCUGAUGCAGCCAUGCCGCGUGUAUGAAGAAGGCCUUCGGGUUGUAAAGUACUUUCAGCGGGGAGGAAGGGAGUAAAGUUAAUACCUUUGCUCAUUGACGUUACCCGCAGAAGAAGCACCGGCUAACUCCGUGCCAGCCGCCGCGGUAAAAGGG